RNAcentral lists this ribosomal RNA (492 nucleotides) under uncultured bacterium. RNAcentral's name for it is "partial 16S ribosomal RNA". It matches the Rfam family "Bacterial small subunit ribosomal RNA", at positions 29 to 507 of the family's 1533-position model. The record is from RNAcentral.
AGUGAACGCUGGCGGUAGGCCUAACACAUGCAAGUCGAACGGCAGCACAGUAAGAGCUUGCUCUUACGGGUGGCGAGUGGCGGACGGGUGAGGAAUACAUCGGAAUCUACUUUUUCGUGGGGGAUAACGUAGGGAAACUUACGCUAAUACCGCAUACGACCUACGGGUGAAAGCAGGGGAUCUUCGGACCUUGCGCGAAUGAAUGAGCCGAUGUCGGAUUAGCUAGUUGGCGGGGUAAAGGCCCACCAAGGCGAAGAUCCGUAGCUGGUCUGAGAGGAUGAUCAGCCACACUGAAACUGAGACACGGUCCAGACUCCUACAGGAGGCAGCAGUGGGGAAUAUUGGACAAUGGGCGCAAGCCUGAUCCAGCCAUACCGCGUGGGUGAAGAAGGCCUUCGGGUUGUAAAGCCCUUUUGUUGGGAAAGAAAAGCAGCAGGUUAAUACCCCGCUGUUCUGACGGUACCCAAAGAAUAAGCACCGGCUAACUUCGUG